AGAGUUUGAUCAUGGCUCAGAUUGAACGCUGGCGGCAGGCCUAACACAUGCAAGUCGAGCGGAAACGAGUUAUCUGAACCUUCGGGGAACGAUAACGGCGUCGAGCGGCGGACGGGUGAGUAAUGCCUAGGAAAUUGCCCUGAUGUGGGGGAUAACCAUUGGAAACGAUGGCUAAUACCGCAUAAUGCCUACGGGCCAAAGAGGGGGACCUUCGGGCCUCUCGCGUCAGGAUAUGCCUAGGUGGGAUUAGCUAGUUGGUGAGGUAAUGGCUCACCAAGGCGACGAUCCCUAGCUGGUCUGAGAGGAUGAUCAGCCACACUGGAACUGAGACACGGUCCAGACUCCUACGGGAGGCAGCAGUGGGGAAUAUUGCACAAUGGGCGCAAGCCUGAUGCAGCCAUGCCGCGUGUGUGAAGAAGGCCUUCGGGUUGUAAAGCACUUUCAGUCGUGAGGAAGGUGGUGUAGUUAAUAGCUGCAUUAUUUGACGUUAGCGACAGAAGAAGCACCGGCUAACUCCGUGCCAGCAGCCGCGGUAAUACGGAGGGUGCGAGCGUUAAUCGGAAUUACUGGGCGUAAAGCGCAUGCAGGUGGUUUGUUAAGUCAGAUGUGAAAGCCCGGGGCUCAACCUCGGAAUAGCAUUUGAAACUGGCAGACUAGAGUACUGUAGAGGGGGGUAGAAUUUCAGGUGUAGCGGUGAAAUGCGUAGAGAUCUGAAGGAAUACCGGUGGCGAAGGCGGCCCCCUGGACAGAUACUGACACUCAGAUGCGAAAGCGUGGGGAGCAAACAGGAUUAGAUACCCUGGUAGUCCACGCCGUAAACGAUGUCUACUUGGAGGUUGUGGCCUUGAGCCGUGGCUUUCGGAGCUAACGCGUUAAGUAGACCGCCUGGGGAGUACGGUCGCAAGAUUAAAACUCAAAUGAAUUGACGGGGGCCCGCACAAGCGGUGGAGCAUGUGGUUUAAUUCGAUGCAACGCGAAGAACCUUACCUACUCUUGACAUCCAGAGAACUUUCCAGAGAUGGAUUGGUGCCUUCGGGAACUCUGAGACAGGUGCUGCAUGGCUGUCGUCAGCUCGUGUUGUGAAAUGUUGGGUUAAGUCCCGCAACGAGCGCAACCCUUAUCCUUGUUUGCCAGCGAGUAAUGUCGGGAACUCCAGGGAGACUGCCGGUGAUAAACCGGAGGAAGGUGGGGACGACGUCAAGUCAUCAUGGCCCUUACGAGUAGGGCUACACACGUGCUACAAUGGCGCAUACAGAGGGCAGCAAGCUAGCGAUAGUGAGCGAAUCCCAAAAAGUGCGUCGUAGUCCGGAUUGGAGUCUGCAACUCGACUCCAUGAAGUCGGAAUCGCUAGUAAUCGUGGAUCAGAAUGCCACGGUGAAUACGUUCCCGGGCCUUGUACACACCGCCCGUCACACCAUGGGAGUGGGCUGCAAAAGAAGUAGGUAGUUUAACCUUCGGGAGGACGCUUACCACUUUGUGGUUCAUGACUGGGGUGAAGUCGUAACAAGGUAGCGCUAGGGGAACCUGGCGCUGGAUCACCU
Molecule: ribosomal RNA, 1541 nt
Filed under: Vibrio owensii
Lineage: Bacteria; Pseudomonadati; Pseudomonadota; Gammaproteobacteria; Vibrionales; Vibrionaceae
Description: bacterial SSU rRNA
Rfam family: Bacterial small subunit ribosomal RNA
Source: RNAcentral